RNAcentral lists this ribosomal RNA (254 nucleotides) under uncultured bacterium. Its description in RNAcentral is "partial 16S ribosomal RNA". It matches the Rfam family "Bacterial small subunit ribosomal RNA", at positions 524 to 776 of the family's 1533-position model. The record is from RNAcentral.
CACGUAGGGUGCAAGCGUUGUCCGGAUUCAUUGGGCGUAAAGGGCUAGUAGGCGGCUUAGCAAGUCGGGUGUGAAAACUUCAGGCUCAACCUGGAGCGGCCAUCCGAUACUGCUAUGGCUAGAGUCCGGUAGGGGACCACGGAAUUCCUGGUGUAGCGGUGGAAUGCGCAGAUAUCAGGAGGAACACCGGUGGCGAAGGCGGCUGCCUGGUCCUACAUUGACGCUGAGAUACGAAAGCGUGGGGAGCAAACAGG